RNAcentral lists this ribosomal RNA (253 nucleotides) under uncultured bacterium. RNAcentral describes it as "partial 16S ribosomal RNA". It matches the Rfam family "Bacterial small subunit ribosomal RNA", at positions 524 to 776 of the family's 1533-position model. The record is from RNAcentral.
UACAGAGGUCUCAAGCGUUGUUCGGAUUCAUUGGGCGUAAAGGGUGCGUAGGCGGCGCGGUAAGUCGGGUGUGAAAUCUCGGAGCUUAACUCCGAAACUGCAUUCGAUACUGCCGUGCUUGAGGACUGGAGAGGAGACUGGAAUUUACGGUGUAGCGGUGAAAUGCGUAGAUAUCGUAAGGAAGUCCAGUGGCGAAGGCGGGUCUCUGGACAGUUCCUGACGCUGAGGCACGAAGGCCAGGGGAGCAAACGGG